UUUUUAACAAAUACAUUUUAUUCCUUAGGGGAAAAAACCUCUUCCUCAGAUCUCACUCUUGUUUUGUAUUGGGAAGCUCCAAGCAACAGGAGUAAAGCUGGAUAAAGACAAAGAGGUUUAGAAAAGACAUGGAAAGGGAAAGAAAAAAGAAAGCAAAUGAUAACAAAAACCCUGAAUUUAUCAUCUCCAAAGGCAACACUGGGCCGCUGUUAAUUUUAGGAGAGAAGGACAAUUUUACCUUGAAUAACCGUUUCAAAUUGUCUCAGCAUGAGGAAUCCCAA
This 281-nucleotide long non-coding RNA is filed under the name Rhinopithecus bieti (black snub-nosed monkey). RNAcentral describes it as "lncRNA (ENSRBIG00000045151.1)". The record is from RNAcentral. Lineage: Eukaryota; Metazoa; Chordata; Mammalia; Primates; Cercopithecidae.